RNAcentral lists this long non-coding RNA (214 nucleotides) under Hordeum vulgare. RNAcentral's name for it is "long non-coding RNA (HVUL_LNC008502)". Lineage: Eukaryota; Viridiplantae; Streptophyta; Magnoliopsida; Poales; Poaceae. The record is from RNAcentral.
CCACUCACUCACCAGUCACCACACAGAGCCAAAGGAAUCACGUGUACGUACGUACGAGUGGGACGCGAGGCGUGGGAUGGCCGGAAUCCAGGUCGUCCAUGCAUAGCGCGACAAAGUGUACAAACGCUGCUAGCUAGGCUACCGAUAGGUAUCAAUAUUCAGUAACAUAGGCCGUGCGCUGUCGAAAGCUGCAUCAGCCCAAGAAACCCAGCCC